AUGUCGACGGCUGCAGCCACCGCCACCCUGACCUCCCCCCCCUUUGCCCGGCGGCCUCGCGCCCCGCGGGGCGGCAGGCGGACGGUGCGGCCGCGCGCGUGCGCGUUCCACCCGGAGGUGGCACGCGCGGUGGAGUCGCUGCAGGCGGAGUUCCGGGAGGUGGACCAAGCCCUCGCCCUCAACUCCUCCCGCGUCUCCGCCGCCUUCCACGCCGCCCGCGUCGCCCCCCACCACUUCGGUGGGUCGACGGGGUACGGCCACGACGACGCCGGCGGCCGGGAGGCGCUCGACUCCGUCUUGCGCCCCCAGUUCUUCUCCGGCACGCACGCCAUCGCCUGCGCACUGUUCGCGCUAUUGCGGCCUGGACACGAGGUAAUCAAUAUGGACUUGACCGAACCGAGAGGCACUCGACUCCGUCUUCGCCCACGUCGUCGGCGCCGAGGCCGCCAUCGUGCGCCCCCAGUUCUUUUCCGGCACGCACGCCAUCGCCUGCGCUCUGUUCGCGCUCCUGCGGCCUGGACACGAGCUCUUGGCGGUCGCCGGGCCUCCCUACGACACCCUGGAGGAGGUCAUCGGGAUCAGGGGGUCGGCCAACGUAGGAUCGCUCAAGGACUUUGGGGUGACCUACCGAGAAGUCCCGCUCGCAGCAGAUGGUGGCCUUGA
Molecule: ribosomal RNA, 663 nt
Filed under: Triticum aestivum (bread wheat)
Lineage: Eukaryota; Viridiplantae; Streptophyta; Magnoliopsida; Poales; Poaceae
Description: partial small subunit ribosomal RNA
Source: RNAcentral